This 305-nucleotide ribosomal RNA is filed under the name uncultured bacterium. RNAcentral describes it as "bacterial SSU rRNA". It matches the Rfam family "Bacterial small subunit ribosomal RNA", at positions 335 to 650 of the family's 1533-position model. The record is from RNAcentral.
UGUCCUACGGGGGGCGGCAGUGGGGAAUCUUGCGCAAUGGGCGGAAGCCUGACGCAGCGACGCCGCGUGCGGGACGAAGGCCUUCGGGUCGUAAACCGCUUUCAGCAGGGACGAGGCCCUCACGGUGACGGUACCUGCAGAAGAAGCCCCGGCUAACUACGUGCCAGCAGCCGCGGAAAUACGUAGAGAGCGAGCGUUAUCCGGAUUCAUUGGGCGUAAAGCGCGCGUAGGCGGCCUGUUAGGUCGGGGGUCAAAUACCGGGGCACAACCCCGGUCCGCCCCCGUUCCCUGCAGGCAUGAGUCUG